RNAcentral lists this ribosomal RNA (272 nucleotides) under uncultured soil bacterium. RNAcentral's name for it is "partial 16S ribosomal RNA". It matches the Rfam family "Bacterial small subunit ribosomal RNA", at positions 26 to 326 of the family's 1533-position model. The record is from RNAcentral.
AGAACGAACGCUGGCGGCAUGCCUAAAACAUGCAAGUCGAACGAACUCUUCGGAGUUAGUGGCGCACGGGUGCGUAACGCGUGGGAAUCUGCCCCUUGGUUCGGAAUAACAGUUGGAAACGACUGCUAAUACCGGAUGAUGACGAAAGUCCAAAGAUUUAUCGCCAAGGGAUGAGCCCGCGUAGGAUUAGCUAGUUGGUGAGGUAAAGGCUCACCAAGGCAACGAUCCUUAGCUGGUCUGAGAGGAUGAUCAGCCACACGUGGGACUGGAGA